UUUUUGCGUCAGGGAUCGAGGCGUUAUCCUUUUGUGAAGUGGAACGAAGCAAAAGAUAUAGCCGAAAGCCCGACCCGCC
RNAcentral lists this unclassified non-coding RNA (79 nucleotides) under Flavobacterium sp. ov086. RNAcentral describes it as "Flavo-1 RNA". Lineage: Bacteria; Pseudomonadati; Bacteroidota; Flavobacteriia; Flavobacteriales; Flavobacteriaceae. The record is from RNAcentral.